Molecule: transfer RNA, 59 nt
Filed under: Cryptotis tropicalis (Tropical small-eared shrew)
Lineage: Eukaryota; Metazoa; Chordata; Mammalia; Eulipotyphla; Soricidae
Description: tRNA-Ser
Source: RNAcentral
GAGAAAGAAUGCAAGAACUGCUAACUCAUGCCACCAUAUAUAAAAAUAUGGCUUUCUCA